RNAcentral lists this ribosomal RNA (253 nucleotides) under uncultured bacterium. Its description in RNAcentral is "partial 16S ribosomal RNA". It matches the Rfam family "Bacterial small subunit ribosomal RNA", at positions 524 to 776 of the family's 1533-position model. The record is from RNAcentral.
GACGAACCGUGCGAACGUUGUUCGGAAUCACUGGGCUUAAAGGGCGCGUAGGCGGGCCCCCAAGUCCGGGGUGAAAUCCUCCAGCCCAACUGGAGAAGAGCCUCGGAGACUGGGGGCCUCGAGGAGGGUAGGGGCGUGCGGAACUCUGGGUGGAGCGGUGAAAUGCAUUGAUAUCCAGAGGAACUCCGGUGGCGAAGGCGGCACGCUGGACCCUUUCUGACGCUGAGGCGCGAAAGCCAGGGGAGCAAACGGG